This 84-nucleotide transfer RNA is filed under the name bacterium. Its description in RNAcentral is "tRNA-Leu". It matches the Rfam family "tRNA". From Rfam's summary of the family: Transfer RNA (tRNA) molecules are approximately 80 nucleotides in length. Their secondary structure includes four short double-helical elements and three loops (D, anti-codon, and T loops). The record is from RNAcentral.
GCCGGGGUGGUGGAACGGUAUACACGAAGGACUUAAAAUCCUUUGCCGAAAGGCUUGCGGGUUCGAUUCCCGCCCCCGGCACCA